AAUAAUCUAUUUCCUCUCAUGUGGAAAUACUGAAAGACGGUUUCGGCUGUCGCUAUAAGAUGGGCCCGCGGCGCAUUAGCUAGUUGGUGAGGUAACGGCUCACCAAGGCAACGAUGCGUAGCCGACCUGAGAGGGUGAUCGGCCACACUGGGACUGAGACACGGCCCAGACUCCUACGGGAGGCAGCAGUAGGGAAUCUUCCACAAUGGGCGAAAGCCUGAUGGAGCAACGCCGCGUGAGUGAAGAAGGAUUUCGGUUCGUAAAACUCUGUUGUAAGGGAAGAACAAGUACAGUAGUAACUGGCUGUACCUUGACGGUACCUUAUUAGAAAGCCACGGCUAACUACGUGCCAGCAGCCGCGGUAAUACGUAGGUGGCAAGCGUUGUCCGGAAUUAUUGGGCGUAAAGCGCGCGCAGGUGGUUCCUUAAGUCUGAUGUGAAAGCCCACGGCUCAACCGUGGAGGGUCAUUGGAAACUGGGGAACUUGAGUGCAGAAGAGGAUAGUGGAAUUCCAAGUG
RNAcentral lists this ribosomal RNA (517 nucleotides) under Lysinibacillus sphaericus. Its description in RNAcentral is "bacterial SSU rRNA". It matches the Rfam family "Bacterial small subunit ribosomal RNA", at positions 172 to 675 of the family's 1533-position model. The record is from RNAcentral. Lineage: Bacteria; Bacillati; Bacillota; Bacilli; Caryophanales; Bacillaceae.